UGAAGAUUAAAAUUAACUCUCCCAUGAUAGUGAAGAUUAAAAUUGUAACCCCUGCCUAUUUUCAGAUUUUAAUCACCAAAAUUAUACACACCCUACUUAAAACUUGAGUAUGAGAUCUGCCCAUUUUUAGAUCUAAUCACCUAAACAUCCCUCUUAAUCAUUAAGUGGGAGGCCUGUGACCCACGUGUGGGAUAGUGAGUGAUAAAUCAGAAUCGACUGACUGCCUUGUGGGCAGUCCUAAAACAGGGCUUCAACUGUGAUUGGUAGACGUAGAAUUAGGGGAAGGCACAGGAAGUGAUGUAAGAGAAAGUGUCUUUAAAAGGGAAUAACAACUUCCUGAGUGAGUUCUAAUGGUAGUUCUUCAUUUUUUUAAUGGCAGUUCUUCAUUUUUUUAAGUGGAGGCUGAUGAAGAAUGUGCUGACUGGACCUGAGACUCCGUUUCCUGAAACACAAUGUCAAGGACGGUCCAAGCGGAUCCUAGAGGCGUUCCUCCACUCUGCAGGGUUUAUCAUGCCAACUAGAUGCCAAGCUCCCCCCCCCCUUCCUUCUUUUCCUGAAGGUGAAGAGUAUUUCGCCUCUUGGCUUCCUGUCCUCUCAAGAUGCUCGCAUAGCAUCAGUAUGCAGGUAAGAAACUGAAGCAAACUGGGCUAAGUGACUUGCGCAGGGUCACAAAAAUAACAUGAACUCUGAACAGGGAUCUCAAGAAAUGAAUGUUCCCACUCUUAGGACUCCCCAUCUGAGACUGAGUUGGAGAGUUCCAAGUUUCCUGAGUCAAAUCUAAGUGUUCAAAAGAACUUUCUGCUCUGACAGGACUUCUUCCAGGAGAAGCAGCAUUACCAUUACAGCUGAAAUGACUAAAAAGUCCCCAAGUCAUGCCUGGCUGGCCAGAAGGUGGACUUUGUAACUUUCUCUGGCAAACAGAUAGAAAAGAAAUGUGAAACAAAUAGCUUUAACACUCUCACAGAGUUCCUUUGUUUUUUAGGAAGAUUAAAAUGAAGGCAAUGUGUUAUU
This 1011-nucleotide long non-coding RNA is filed under the name Monodelphis domestica (gray short-tailed opossum). RNAcentral describes it as "lncRNA (ENSMODG00000051199.1)". Lineage: Eukaryota; Metazoa; Chordata; Mammalia; Didelphimorphia; Didelphidae. The record is from RNAcentral.